Molecule: ribosomal RNA, 435 nt
Filed under: Drosophila rubida
Lineage: Eukaryota; Metazoa; Arthropoda; Insecta; Diptera; Drosophilidae
Description: partial 12S ribosomal RNA
Source: RNAcentral
UUAAAAUGUAAAUAAUAAUAUUAAAGUAGUAAUAGUUAUGUUCUUGAAACUUAAAAAAUUUGGCGGUAUUUUAGUCUAUCCAGAGGAACCUGUUUUGUAAUCGAUAAUCCACGAUGGACCUUACUUAAGUUUGUAAUCAGUUUAUAUACCGUCGUUAUCAGAAUAUUUUAUAAGAAUAAAAAUAUUCAAUAAUUUUAAUUAAAAUUUAUAUCAGAUCAAGGUGUAGCUUAUAUUUAAGUAAUAAUGGGUUACAAUAAAUUUAUUUAAACGAAUAAAAUUAUGAAAAAAUUUUUGAAGGUGGAUUUGGUAGUAAAAUUAUAAAGAUAAAUAAUUUGAUUUUGGCUCUAAAAUAUGUACACAUCGCCCGUCGCUCUUAUUAUUAAGGUAAGAUAAGUCGUAACAUAGUAGAUGUACUGGAAAGUGUAUCUAGAAUGA